Molecule: ribosomal RNA, 480 nt
Filed under: Onygenales sp. 1PB1
Lineage: Eukaryota; Fungi; Ascomycota; Eurotiomycetes; Onygenales
Also listed under: 1 other name
Description: eukaryotic LSU rRNA
Rfam family: 5.8S ribosomal RNA (bases 126-279)
Source: RNAcentral
UUUGUUUAUUACACUUUGUUGCUUUGGCAAGCCUGCCCUCGGGCUGCUGGCUCCGGCCGGCGAGCGCUUGCCAGAGGACCUAAACUCUGUUUGUCUAUACUGUCUGAGUACUAUAUAAUAGUUAAAACUUUCAACAACGGAUCUCUUGGUUCUGGCAUCGAUGAAGAACGCAGCGAAAUGCGAUAAGUAAUGUGAAUUGCAGAAUUCAGUGAAUCAUCGAAUCUUUGAACGCACAUUGCGCCCCCUGGUAUUCCGGGGGGCAUGCCUGUCCGAGCGUCAUUACAACCCUCAAGCUCAGCUUGGUGUUGGGCCCCGCCGCCCCGGCGGGCCCUAAAGUCAGUGGCGGUGCCGUCCGGCUCCGAGCGUAGUAAUUCUUCUCGCUCUGGAGGUCCGGUCGUGUGCUCGCCAGCAACCCCCAAUUUUUUUCAGGUUGACCUCGGAUCAGGUAGGGAUACCCGCUGAACUUAAGCAUAUCAAUAA